Long non-coding RNA from Xyrauchen texanus (razorback sucker), 681 nucleotides. RefSeq lists it as uncharacterized. The record is from RefSeq and is a predicted model, not a curated record. Lineage: Eukaryota; Metazoa; Chordata; Actinopteri; Cypriniformes; Catostomidae. The transcript is spliced from 4 exons.
GAUGAUCAGCCUUGAGGGGCACAUCAUUUGUGAGGGCAUCCAGUCGGCUUUUCUGUCUGGGCUUACUGCUGUUUUUUCUACUUUCUACAAUCUCAAUCUUCAAUACCAAGCUGAGGCAGCAUGCACACUGGAAUUCAUUCAAAGGCGGUUCAUCGGGAUAAAUCCAGAAAAAGGCACCAAGGCUGGAGGAGUCAUAUCAAAGCGGACGGGAAAGGUCGCCCAGAAAAACAAAACAGUGUCUCCAGUCUGCUUAAAAAAUGAAUGGAUUUUGAGUGGGACUUUAUAAAAAUCCAUAUAGGAAACCAUGUUUGGAUCAGAGAAGAGGUGUGGAAGAAGAUUAAUUGAUCAACAAAAGAUUCUCUCUAUGUCAAAGAGAUGGCUGUGGCACUGUGGGGGACAAACACUUUAAAAAGCAGAAGUGUGUCAGGAAAGGAGUGUCCCACGAAUAAACACUCUGCAAAGCCUCCCCUGACACCCUCCAAGCUGCAAGUUUUGAGAGUCUGCUUCAGUGACUGGCUCAAACAAAAAGAACCUGAGAAAGGAGAGAGAGAGAAGUGGAAGAAGCAAGUGGGGUAUUACAUAUCCCAAAAAAUUCAAGAUAUCAUAAAAAAAGAAAGGAAAAAUGAAAAUGUGUAAUAUGUCUAUAAUUCUGUUAUUGUUCACCUUUACAUCUGUAUAUAG